Molecule: long non-coding RNA, 1073 nt
Organism: Mesocricetus auratus (golden hamster)
Lineage: Eukaryota; Metazoa; Chordata; Mammalia; Rodentia; Cricetidae
Exons: 4
Source: RefSeq, a predicted model, not a curated record
UGGGUGCAGAAGCAUGUGAAAGGCACAGAUACUCAGCAAGAACUUAUGAAGCCAGGUGUGGUGGUAAUCCCAGCCGGGAGGGGAGGACAGGAAGAUGAAAAGUCCAAGGGGGACAACCAAGUACAGCAGCAAUAGCCUUUAAUAGGCGGAGUAAGAAGAUUGGAAAGAGCCCCACUUCUAAGACCUCUAAGACACCCUCAUUCUUCCAGCUGUUAUUUGGGGAUGCCUUCCACCAUCCUCAGUGUCAGUCAAAUAAGGGGUGUGUGCCUGCCAACUGCGGUCUCCCUAUGUCUGGAUCAGGCUGAUGCUAGGCAAGGGCUAAUAUUAAACUGUCAGGAGGUGUCCUCUGCAGAAGGCAGACCUGGAUCCCAGAACUCUGGAGAGAAGAUGAGGAAGGUUGGUGUCCAGAUGUUUGAAGGUCCCUGAAGUGGGACAAUGGGAUCUGAAUAUUAACGUAUCAGCCACCAGAGGGCAGUGUUGGAUUUAAUCAACGGCCCAGAUAAGUCCGCUUCCGUCCCUGAAAAGUAAGUGCACAGAGCUUGGCUAUACUUAGCCCAGGUUUCUUUUCUGAUAUAUAUGAAGCAUCUCAGAUUCUUGAGCCGCUUUGUGAAGGGACAACAUCGAGCAGCCUUGCAGCCAGUCUAGGUUCCCUGACUGGUGGGAAUUUGGGGUGAAAUACGAGAAUCGGCCACAAGAGGGAGAUAGGGAGCUAAGCUCUUGGUUCCAAGGAUGAUCUAGUUUCAAAAAGACUACAAAAGGCGAGACUGGUGACACAUGGUUGGAAACCCACAAUGCUCAAGAGACAGAGGCUGGAAGAUCGCCCAAAUUAGGGGCUUGCGACUCCUGACUCAAAAAUAGGGGCAAAAAUAGUGAGAACCUGACUGUGAAAUAAAAUAAAGUGCCGGGGCUUGAUUUUAUACAGAGACAGAUGGCUAAGAUAUCUCUGUUCUGUUCCCAGCAAUAUGCUCACAACGACUUGUAACUCCAGUUCCGGGGGAUUCCAUGCCCUCUUCUUGUCUCUAUAGGCACCUGCACUCACAUUUUAAAAAAUUAAUUAGCGGGAGCUGGAGAGA